This 70-nucleotide transfer RNA is filed under the name Glischrochilus hortensis. Its description in RNAcentral is "tRNA-Lys". Lineage: Eukaryota; Metazoa; Arthropoda; Insecta; Coleoptera; Nitidulidae. The record is from RNAcentral.
CAUUAGAUGGCUGAAAGAUAGCCAUGGUCUCUUAAACCAUUUUAUAGUAGACUAGCGACUACUUCUAAUG